UCAGAGUUUGAUGAUUAAGGUACAAUAAAUUAGAGACACUGAUUAGAUAUAAAUCAUUUUGAUUUGGAACCAUUUUUAUUUAAAAUGUCAAAUCAAAUGAAAACAUUAAACAAAUCGAGUUAAUUUAACAAGAAUUUUUGUUAUUGCAAAAUGUGCUUCCAUCUAUGAUAACUGUUAGUAGUCGUCUUCUUCUGAGAGGGAAAAAUUGUAUUUUCCCAUUAUUAUGUUAAGUUACAAAAGUUGACUUGUUUUCAUUAAACAUUUGUGUUGGCAAUGUUUGUGUGAUAUUUUUUUUGAACGCGCAUUUUAUUUUAUUUUUGUGUGUUUGCUAAUUUUGUUUCAUUUAAUUUUCCUGUUACAGUUUAUUUUAAAUGAUUUGUGACCAUCAUCAACUUUACAAAUUGUGACGAUUUAUUAAUACAGAGGAUAAACUUUGAUUAGGUGGUUCAAUAAUUGUUAUCCAAACGAUCCAGGAAAUUUACAAGAUUGAUGCGAUGGACACGCUACGGGAACAAGUUAUGAUUAAUCAGUUUGUCUCGGUUGCUGGGUGUAAUCAUGAUCAGGCAAAGAAAAUGCUUAAAAACAAUAAUUGGCAAUUUCAACGAGCUUUGAGUAUCUUUUUUCAAGAGUCACCCGUUGUCGGGCUUAAUCCAAGUGGAAGAUAUAAUCCACUUACAACACCAGCCAAUACUCCAGCAACACCACCUAAUUUUCCGGAAACCUUGUUGGCUUUUUCAAAAUUUACAACAUCGCCCGAAAUUGAUGCAAACAACAAAUCAAAUGUAAAUGUUGAUAAUGACAUCAACGAUAAUACUGUAAACUAUAACAGUAACAACAACAAACCUCUCAAUCAUCUCCAAUUUAAUUCUCAUCUUUAUGGGGUCUCUAAAAUUCAACCCCAAUUCAAUCAUCAUCAUCACCACAAUGUAAAUAAUGCAAACUCCUUCACCGAUAAUGGUUCACCAGCACCAGCAGCAUUAACUCUGGAUGGAACCAGCAAAAUUCAACUUAAAGAAUUGGUAUAAUGGAUCUCAUAAGUAUCAAUGCAUGAUUUUUGGACAGUUAAAUCAAAAGGACGAUUCAUUCACCCGGAAAAGCCAAAAAAGCUAAACUUUCUAUUCUUUCAUUCUCACCAUCAACUCUUUACUUCUAUCUCUUUCUCUUUUCCUCUUAUCUUAUUUUUCAUUAUGGAUCUAAUCAAUCAAACGUUUCCCAUAAUUCUAUCUUUCCUCAUCUAAUUACAUCGUAUUAAGCCCUUAAAAGUUAUUACAUUAUAAAUGUAUGUUUUUUGAUGUUUUUUUCUGGUUCAAAAGAAACGUACAAAUUACCUUAACUAACACAUAAUUGAAUAAAAAAUGUUGAAUUUAACUCAAGAUUCACUUGAUCACUUUGUUAUUCAUCGCCACAACCCACACACAGACUAACCUAUGAGGAAAAAGUUUGGAUCUAAUUGGUUUAAUUGUUUGUUGUUUUCUCGUAAUUCCUUGCAGCUAGAAGUUCAAAUUACCUUCAGAAUUGCGUUGCAACUCAAAACAUUUAAAUAUAAACAUUUGAGAUCAUGGUUUUUCAAAAUACGGUUUGAAAAUUGCCAAUCUUAACUCUCACUUUAAAAACCUAGGAAAAGGUUACCAGGCUCAAUAGUGAAAAAAUGCGUCACAUUCAAUGUUUUAAAUCCUGAUAUUAAGAUAAAGCUUUCUCAAGAUCUGGAUUAAAUUACAUCAGCACGUGUCUUCAAUCUUCCUCAAUGCAUUUUCGAACAAGAAAAUCUUUGUAUAAUCUGAAGAGUAUUGAUUAAACAAUCGAACCCGAAUUUCCCCCCAUCCCGAAUUCAUCGAUCCCUUCAUCAACCUCAAAAUAAACCUACAAUUUGCAUAUUGAUCAAACUAAUUCUUGUUUUUUUUCAUCUUUUACAGACAUCUUCACCAAGCCACUUUUGAUGGAUACAUUAUUUUCCCAAACAAUCAAUAAAAGAGGUAAAUUAUCAAAACUACUUAACCUUGAAUUAUAGCAACAGACUGAAUAUUGGAUUCGCCAUUCUUACCUUUGUUCAAUGCCAUACAACAUGAUAUACAUUUUCAAGUUCAAGAUCAUUCUCAAUGAGACUCCAACCAACAUUGUCCUGCGCUCUUUACUCAACUUUUGUUUUGAGUCGCAUCCAGAUUCAUAUCACCAUGAGUUGAUCAGGUGAAAUAACAUAGAUCUGUACUUUAGAUGUUAAUUUUUAUGGCAUUAGAAUAGAUUACCCAACGAAAGUAAAAACAUCAACAAGCUGAUAAGCUAAAAUAAGCUUCCAUUGGUGUAGCUUUCUGAUGACUAUCCAGCAUCAACGAGGAAGA
This is a non-coding RNA of Tetranychus urticae (two-spotted spider mite), 2336 nucleotides long. The record is from RefSeq and is a predicted model, not a curated record. Lineage: Eukaryota; Metazoa; Arthropoda; Arachnida; Trombidiformes; Tetranychidae.